GAUGAACGCUAGCUACAGGCUUAACACAUGCAAGUCGAGGGGCAGCAUUUCAGUUUGCUUGCAAACUGGAGAUGGCGACCGGCGCACGGGUGAGUAACACGUAUCCAACCUGCCGAUAACUCGGGGAUAGCCUUUCGAAAGAAAGAUUAAUACCCGAUGGUAUAAUCAGACCGCAUGGUCUUGUUAUUAAAGAAUUUCGGUUAUCGAUGGGGAUGCGUUCCAUUAGGCAGUUGGUGAGGUAACGGCUCACCAAACCUUCGAUGGAUAGGGGUUCUGAGAGGAAGGUCCCCCACAUUGGAACUGAGACACGGUCCAAACUCCUACGGGAGGCAGCAGUGAGGAAUAUUGGUCAAUGGGCGCAGGCCUGAACCAGCCAAGUAGCGUGAAGGAUGACUGCCCUAUGGGUUGUAAACUUCUUUUAUAUGGGAAUAAAGUUUUCCACGUGUGGAAUUUUGUAUGUACCAUAUGAAUAAGGAUCGGCUAACUCCGUGCCAGCAGCCGCGGUAAUACGGAGGAUCCGAGCGUUAUCCGGAUUUAUUGGGUUUAAAGGGAGCGUAGGUGGACAGUUAAGUCAGUUGUGAAAGUUUGCGGCUCAACCGUAAAAUUGCAGUUGAUACUGGCUGUCUUGAGUACAGUAGAGGUGGGCGGAAUUCGUGGUGUAGCGGUGAAAUGCUUAGAUAUCACGAAGAACUCCGAUUGCGAGGGCAGCUCACUGGACUGCAACUGACACUGAUGCUCGAAAGUGUGGGUAUCAAACAGGAUUAGAUACCCUGGUAGUCCACACAGUAAACGAUGAAUACUCGCUGUUUGCGAUAUACAGUAAGCGGCCAAGCGAAAGCAUUAAGUAUUCCACCUGGGGAGUACGCCGGCAACGGUGAAACUCAAAGGAAUUGACGGGGGCCCGCACAAGCGGAGGAACAUGUGGUUUAAUUCGAUGAUACGCGAGGAACCUUACCCGGGCUUAAAUUGCAUUUGAAUAUAUUGGAAACAGUAUAGCCGUAAGGCAAAUGUGAAGGUGCUGCAUGGUUGUCGUCAGCUCGUGCCGUGAGGUGUCGGCUUAAGUGCCAUAACGAGCGCAACCCUUAUCUUUAGUUACUAACAGGUCAUGCUGAGGACUCUAGAGAGACUGCCGUCGUAAGAUGUGAGGAAGGUGGGGAUGACGUCAAAUCAGCACGGCCCUUACGUCCGGGGCUACACACGUGUUACAAUGGGGGGUACAGAAGGCAGCUACCUGGUGACAGGAUGCUAAUCCCAAAAGCCUCUCUCAGUUCGGAUCGAAGUCUGCAACCCGACUUCGUGAAGCUGGAUUCGCUAGUAAUCGCGCAUCAGCCAUGGCGCGGUGAAUACGUUCCCGGGCCU
Molecule: ribosomal RNA, 1359 nt
Filed under: uncultured bacterium
Lineage: Bacteria
Description: bacterial SSU rRNA
Rfam family: Bacterial small subunit ribosomal RNA
Source: RNAcentral